CCUACGGGGUGCAGCAGUGGGGAAUAUUGGACAAUGGGCGAAAGCCUGGUCCAGCCAUGCCGCGUGUGUGAAGAAGGCCUUCGGGUUGUAAAGCACUUUCAGUGGGGAAGAAAGCCUUGGGGCUAAUACCCUCGAGGAAGGACAUCACCCACAGAAGAAGCACCGGCUAACUCCGUGCCAGCAGCCGCGGUAAUACGGAGGGUGCGAGCGUUAAUCGGAAUUACUGGGCGUAAAGCGCGCGUAGGCGGUCUGAUAAGCCGGUUGUGAAAGCCCCGGGCUCAACCUGGGAACGGCAUCCGGAACUGUCAGGCUAGAGUGCAGGAGAGGAAGGUAGAAUUCCCGGUGUAGCGGUGAAAUGCGUAGAGAUCGGGAGGAAUACCAGUGGCGAAGGCGGCCUUCUGGACUGACACUGACGCUGAGGUGCGAAAGCGUGGGUAGCAAACAGGAUUAGAUACCCGUGUAGUC
RNAcentral lists this ribosomal RNA (465 nucleotides) under Vreelandella stevensii. RNAcentral describes it as "partial 16S ribosomal RNA". It matches the Rfam family "Bacterial small subunit ribosomal RNA", at positions 338 to 795 of the family's 1533-position model. The record is from RNAcentral. Lineage: Bacteria; Pseudomonadati; Pseudomonadota; Gammaproteobacteria; Oceanospirillales; Halomonadaceae.